GUGCUUGCUUCGGCAGCACAUAUACUAAAAUUGGAACGAUACAGAGAAGAUUAGCAUGGCCCCUGCACAAGGAUGACACACAAAUUCAUGGAGCAUUCUGUAUUUUU
This is a small nuclear RNA of Otolemur garnettii (small-eared galago), 107 nucleotides long. NCBI's taxonomy places the organism in Eukaryota, Metazoa, Chordata, Mammalia, Primates, Galagidae. The record is from Ensembl.